Molecule: ribosomal RNA, 468 nt
Filed under: uncultured bacterium
Lineage: Bacteria
Description: partial 16S ribosomal RNA
Rfam family: Bacterial small subunit ribosomal RNA
Source: RNAcentral
GACGAACGCUGGCGGCGUGCUUAACACAUGCAAGUCGAACGGAAAGGCCCUGCUUUUGUGGGGUGCUCGAGUGGCGAACGGGUGAGUAACACGUGAGUAACCUGCCCUUGACUUUGGGAUAACUUCAGGAAACUGGGGCUAAUACCGGAUAGGAUCUCCUGCUGCAUGGUGGGGGUUGGAAAGUUUCGGCGGUUGGGGAUGGACUCGCGGCUUAUCAGCUUGUUGGUGGGGUAGUGGCUUACCAAGGCUUUGACGGGUAGCCGGCCUGAGAGGGUGACCGGGGACAUUGGGCCUGAGAUACGGAGCAGACGCCAACGGGAGGCAGUAGUGGGGAAUAUUGCCCAAUGGGCGGAAGUCUGAGGCAGAAACGUCGGGUGUGGGAUGCCGGCUUGUGGGUUGUAAAAAGCUUUCGGCUGUGACGACGCGUGAGUGACGGUAACGGGUAAAGAAGCACCGGCUAACUACGUG